AGUUAUUAAGCUAUAAAGCAUUAUAUCUUGAAAAUAUAAGAAAGAAAAAAAAAUCUAUUAACUU
RNAcentral lists this transfer RNA (64 nucleotides) under Paracatonidia sp. SX-2018. RNAcentral describes it as "tRNA-Ser". Lineage: Eukaryota; Metazoa; Arthropoda; Insecta; Hemiptera; Achilidae. The record is from RNAcentral.